GAACGGGUGAGUAAUACAUAAGUAACCUGCCCUAGACAGGGGGAUAACUAUUGGAAACGAUAGCUAAGACCGCAUAGGUACGGACACUGCAUGGUGACCGUAUUAAAAGUGCCUCAAAGCACUGGUAGAGGAUGGACUUAUGGCGCAUUAGCUGGUUGGCGGGGUAACGGCCCACCAAGGCGACGAUGCGUAGCCGACCUGAGAGGGUGACCGGCCACACUGGGACUGAGACACGGCCCAGACUCCUACGGGAGGCAGCAGUAGGGAAUUUUCGGCAAUGGGGGAAACCCUGACCGAGCAACGCCGCGUGAAGGAAGAAGGUUUUCGGAUUGUAAACUUCUGUUAUAAAGGAAGAACGGCGGCUACAGGAAAUGGUAGCCGAGUGACGGUACUUUAUUAGAAAGCCACGGCUAACUACGUGCCAGCAGCCGCGGUAAUACGUAGGUGGCAAGCGUUAUCCGGAAUUAUUGGGCGUAAGGAGGGAGCAGGCGGCAGCAAGGGUCUGUGGUGAAAGCCUGAAGCUUAACUUCAGUAAGCCAUAGAAACCAGGCAGCUAGAGUGCAGGAGAGGAUCGUGGAAUUCCAUGUGUAGCGGUGAAAUGCGUAGAUAUAUGGAGGAAC
RNAcentral lists this ribosomal RNA (620 nucleotides) under uncultured bacterium. RNAcentral describes it as "bacterial SSU rRNA". It matches the Rfam family "Bacterial small subunit ribosomal RNA", at positions 100 to 707 of the family's 1533-position model. The record is from RNAcentral.